UACGGGAGGCAGCAGUGGGGAAUAUUGCACAAUGGGCGCAAGCCUGAUGCAGCCAUGCCGCGUGUAUGAAGAAGGCCUUCGGGUUGUAAAGUACUUUCAGUCGUGAGGAAGGUGUUAAGGUUAAUAACCUUAGCAAUUGACGUUAGCGACAGAAGAAGCACCGGCUAACUCCGUGCCAGCAGCCGCGGUAAUACGGAGGGUGCGAGCGUUAAUCGGAAUUACUGGGCGUAAAGGGCACGCAGGCGGUUAAUUAAGUUGGAUGUGAAAUCCCCGGGCUUAACCUGGGAAUGGCAUUCAAGACUGGUUAGCUAGAGUCUUGUAGAGGGGGUAGAAUUCCAUGUGUAGCGGUGAAAUGCGUAGAGAUGUGGAGGAAUACCGGUGGCGAAGGGCGGCCCCUGGACAAAGACUGACGCUCAUGUGCGAAAGCGUGGGGAGCAAACAGGGAUUAGAUACC
RNAcentral lists this ribosomal RNA (454 nucleotides) under uncultured bacterium. RNAcentral describes it as "bacterial SSU rRNA". It matches the Rfam family "Bacterial small subunit ribosomal RNA", at positions 340 to 786 of the family's 1533-position model. The record is from RNAcentral.